This 368-nucleotide ribosomal RNA is filed under the name uncultured organism. RNAcentral's name for it is "bacterial SSU rRNA". It matches the Rfam family "Bacterial small subunit ribosomal RNA", at positions 526 to 896 of the family's 1533-position model. The record is from RNAcentral.
CGGAGGGUGCAGGCGUUAUCCGGAUUCACUGGGUUUAAAGGGUGCGUAGGUGGGCAAGUAAGUCAGUGGUGAAAUCUCCGGGCUUAACCCGGAAACUGCCAUUGAUACUAUUUGUCUUGAAUACUGUGGAGGUCAGCGGAAUAUGUCAUGUAGCGGUGAAAUGCUUAGAUAUGACAUAGAACACCAAUUGCGAAGGCAGCUGGCUACACAAAUAUUGACACUGAGGCGCGAAAGCGUGGGGAUCAAACAGGAUUAGAUACCCUGGUAGUCCACGCCCUAAACUAUGGAUACUCGACAUUUGCGAUAAACUGCAAGUGUCUGAGCGAAAGCAUUAAGUAUCCCACCUGGGAAGUACGAUCGCAAGAUUG